This is a long non-coding RNA of Oncorhynchus keta (chum salmon), 388 nucleotides long. RefSeq lists it as uncharacterized. The transcript has 3 exons. The record is from RefSeq and is a predicted model, not a curated record. Lineage: Eukaryota; Metazoa; Chordata; Actinopteri; Salmoniformes; Salmonidae.
UUGGAGUAAUUUGGAACGAGGUUGAGGGUUGGAGUGGAAUUGGAGUAAUAUGGAACGAGGUUGAGGGUUGGAGUAAUUUGGAACGAGGUUGAGGGUUGGAGUGGAAUUGGAGUAAUAUGGAACGAGGUUGAGGGUUGGAGUAAUUUGGAACAAGGUUGAGGGUUGGAGUCAUUUGGAACGAGGUUGAGGGUUGGAGUGGAAUUGGAGUAAUAUGGAACGAGGUUGAGGGUUGGAGUGGAGUUGGAGUAAUAUGAAACAAGGUUGGACAUUCCAUUUCAGUUGCUGAAUGCUUUCCUACAAUAUGGACUUUCAGGUCGCCUCCCGGUGCAGGUUAUGAGAAAGUUGUGAGUAAAAUAUGGUAAACUAUGAUGGUGACGGUACUCUGUCU